RNAcentral lists this ribosomal RNA (430 nucleotides) under uncultured bacterium. RNAcentral's name for it is "bacterial SSU rRNA". It matches the Rfam family "Bacterial small subunit ribosomal RNA", at positions 343 to 789 of the family's 1533-position model. The record is from RNAcentral.
GGGUGGCUGCAGUGGGGAAUAUUGGACAAUGGGGGCAACCCUGAUCCAGCCAUGCCGCGUGAGUGAUGAAGGCCUUAGGGUUGUAAAGCUCUUUCACCGGUGAAGAUAAUGACGGUAACCGGAGAAGAAGCCCCGGCUAACUUCGUGCCAGCAGCCGCGGUAAUACGAAGGGGGCUAGCGUUGUUCGGAUUUACUGGGCGUAAAGCGCACGUAGGCGGAUAUUUAAGUCAGAGGUGAAAUCCCAGGGCUCAACCCUGGAACUGCCUUUGAUACUGGGUAUCUUGAGUAUGGAAGAGGUGAGUGGAAUUCCGAGUGUAGAGGUGAAAUUCGUAGAUAUUCGGAGGAACACCAGUGGCGAAGGCGGCUCACUGGUCCAUUACUGACGCUGAGGUGCGAAAGCGUGGGGAGCAAACAGGAUUAGAUACCCCUG